Molecule: long non-coding RNA, 609 nt
Filed under: Homo sapiens (human)
Lineage: Eukaryota; Metazoa; Chordata; Mammalia; Primates; Hominidae
Description: non-protein coding lnc-TSTD2-4:4
Source: RNAcentral
AGCCAUGGCAGGUGCUGACCUGGUGCUUGGCUCUGUGGAAAUGGCUGCCAGAUGUGCUGUGGCUGUUAUUUAUUUUUUGAACACGAAGUAGCUCUCUGCCUCACUCAUGGCCUUCCUAUGUUUGGGAAAGCAUAUGGAAAGCAAACCUGUUUUCCCAUUUGUGAAGAGGGUUUGAGUUUCCACAUGGCUGAUCCCUGUGCUUGGGGUACCCAGAACAGGGCUCCCUGGGGGCUGGUGGAGGGGCCCUACGCUAACUCAGAUAUCUGGGAAAAUUCUGGUUGGGGUUCAUUCUUUCAACAAAUAUACAUUGAGCACCUACUUUGUGCAGGUACUUUUCUGCCUGCAGAAGGCACUCCCUGGGGAUUGUCUGAAUUCUAGCUGGGGAGUCAUGGGUGCACUAGACAUCAUAAGCAGGCUGCGUCCACAGUAUGUUGACAUUGUGAUGUCCUCCUGGCCUCUUCCAGAUACACAUGCAUCCUGCCAUAUUCUGACAGAGAUGAUGGACCUCAGGAUCAACUAAAAAUGUCAGUGGACUUCAGGUCUAGAAGGACAGGCUCCUGUUUCCCCAGAACAGUUGGGGGCAUAUGGGAGUCUGUGGCUGGGGAGGGG